This 468-nucleotide ribosomal RNA is filed under the name uncultured bacterium. RNAcentral describes it as "bacterial SSU rRNA". It matches the Rfam family "Bacterial small subunit ribosomal RNA", at positions 28 to 507 of the family's 1533-position model. The record is from RNAcentral.
GACGAACGCUGGCGGCGUGCCUGACACAUGCAAGUCGGACGGUUCUUGCACCUUCAAGCUUGCUUGUUGGUUCAAGGAUAGUGGCGGACGGGUGAGUAACGCGUGAACACCUACCCAUUGGAGGGGUACAACCCGUCGAAAGGCGGGCUAAUACCGCGUAAGCCGUGAGGUGAAAGGCUGCUCUUUGGUGGCUGCCGAUGGAUGGGUUCGCGUCCUAUCAGCUGGUUGGUGGGUAACGGCCUACCAAGGCUAAGACGGGUAGCCGGUCUGAGAGGAUGGCCGGCCACACUGGAACUGAGACACGGUCCAGACUCCUACGGGAGGCAGCAGUGGGGAAUCUUGGGCAAUGGGGGAGACCCUGACCCAGCGACGCCGCGUGAGGGAUGAAGGUUUUCGGAUCGUAAACCUCUGUUGUACGGGAAGAAGGAUGUGACGGUACCGUACGAGUAAGCCCCGGCAAACUACGUG